GCCCCGUUCGUCUAGCGGCCUAGGACGCCGGCCUCUCACGCCGGUAACACGGGUUCAAAUCCUGUACGGGGUACAA
Molecule: transfer RNA, 76 nt
Filed under: Corynebacterium simulans
Lineage: Bacteria; Bacillati; Actinomycetota; Actinomycetes; Mycobacteriales; Corynebacteriaceae
Description: tRNA-Glu
Rfam family: tRNA
About the family: Transfer RNA (tRNA) molecules are approximately 80 nucleotides in length. Their secondary structure includes four short double-helical elements and three loops (D, anti-codon, and T loops).
Source: RNAcentral